UUAUUCAAUAUAAGGUGAAUAUUUAUUUAAUUUUUUUAACCUUUAUUUGGACCUCGAACAGCAUCUCGUCCAUAGGACUAAUUCAUAUUCUGCACCAGACCCAUCUCAGGAGCCUACAGACCCAUCUCACGAGACUACUCAGGCACCCGUCGAUACACAAGUUCAUCCUUCGGCGCCUGCGGUGGCAACUCCCGACGAGGAUGAGGUCGCGUUUCCUGACCCAGCUCAGCCUGAGAUUCUAAGCAUACCAGCAGGACUAGAUCCCAAGAAGAAGUACGUUAUGCAGAAGGGUGCAAGGGCGAGGGAUGAUCAUGGCUUAGAGCGCCCUCUUAUUAAGAGGAAAAAAGGGGAUGGAGACGAUGGCGGGGUGGUGGGGAUGGUAUGAGCCUUAGGCCUAAGGAUAGUCUCAGGCAUACCACAUGUGGAACCCAUCCACGAUAGUGUAUAUACAAUAGUGUUGUACAGUUUAAGUAAAUAUUAUAUAUUUUUUAAGUAUCUA
Long non-coding RNA from Lycium ferocissimum, 499 nucleotides. RefSeq lists it as uncharacterized. The transcript has 2 exons. NCBI's taxonomy places the organism in Eukaryota, Viridiplantae, Streptophyta, Magnoliopsida, Solanales, Solanaceae. The record is from RefSeq and is a predicted model, not a curated record.